This 253-nucleotide ribosomal RNA is filed under the name uncultured bacterium. Its description in RNAcentral is "partial 16S ribosomal RNA". It matches the Rfam family "Bacterial small subunit ribosomal RNA", at positions 524 to 776 of the family's 1533-position model. The record is from RNAcentral.
UACAGAGACUGCAAGCGUUAUUCGGAUUCACUGGGCGUAAAGGGUGCGCAGGCGGUUGGGUGUGUCAGAUGUGAAAUCCCGAGGCUUAACCUCGGAACUGCGUCUGAAACUACUCGACUAGAGUACUGGAGAGGGAAACGGAAUUCACGGUGUAGCAGUGAAAUUCGUAGAUAUCGAGAAGAACACCGGUGGCGAAGGCGGCCAUCUGGACGGUGACUGACGCUGAGACGCGAAAGCGUGGGGAGCAAACAGG